UACGUAGGGUGCGAGCGUUAAUCGGAAUUACUGGGCGUAAAGCGUGCGCAGGCGGUUAUUUAAGUCAGGUGUGAAAUCCCCGGGCUCAACCUGGGAACUGCAUUUGUGACUGCAUCGCUGGAGUGCGGCAGAGGGGGAUGGAAUUCCGCGUGUAGCAGUGAAAUGCGUAGAUAUGCGGAGGAACACCGAUGGCGAAGGCAAUCCCCUGGGCCUGCACUGACGCUCAUGCACGAAAGCGUGGGGAGCAAACAGG
Molecule: ribosomal RNA, 253 nt
Filed under: uncultured bacterium
Lineage: Bacteria
Description: partial 16S ribosomal RNA
Rfam family: Bacterial small subunit ribosomal RNA
Source: RNAcentral